CUAAAUGAAUGAGGGAAUUGGAAAAGGUAUUUUAUGUUAAUAUUGUUGCUUUUGAUACCGCAAUGCUUCCGGAAGCUAAACAGGAUGAUUUGCAGAAUGCAAUAUGGAAGAUCUUCAAGUUCGGGAGUAUGCAAUCUCAGUAGCUGGUAGAUUAUCUGAAAAGAAUCCUGCAUAUGUUUUUCCAGCACUUCGCCGCCACCUAAUUCAGUUGUUAACUUAUCUCAGGCAAAGUGCUGAUAGCAAAUGCCGAGAAGAGAGUGUAAAAUUGUUGGGUUGACUUAUCCGCAGUUGUGAACGUAUUAUACUUGCAUAUAUUGCUCCAAUUAGAUGCCAAAACAAGUCAUAUACAGAUGGAUCAAAGAAAUAGAAAAACGAGUUUACCCAGAAGAGGUCGCUAAAAGCGCGUAUAGUCUUAAACGACUUCUACCCAACGACGAUUUGGGGAUUCUCUCAUCUCUUAGAUCUCGACAAGGAAGCAACUGCGUAUAGUUAUUUUUUUUCAUAAAUGCUUUGAUAAUCUUGACGCUAUUUUGGUUCGAAUUGUAAGAACGCCAGAUUUGGGUUCGUAAUCUGUAGUUACAUAUUGGAAUUUGAAUAAUAUGAACCAUGAAAAUUGAAGA
Molecule: long non-coding RNA, 620 nt
Organism: Helianthus annuus (common sunflower)
Lineage: Eukaryota; Viridiplantae; Streptophyta; Magnoliopsida; Asterales; Asteraceae
Exons: 3
Source: RefSeq, a predicted model, not a curated record